RNAcentral lists this ribosomal RNA (253 nucleotides) under uncultured bacterium. Its description in RNAcentral is "partial 16S ribosomal RNA". It matches the Rfam family "Bacterial small subunit ribosomal RNA", at positions 524 to 776 of the family's 1533-position model. The record is from RNAcentral.
UACGUAGGGUGCAAGCGUUAAUCGGAAUUACUGGGCGUAAAGCGUGCGCAGGCGGUUAUGUAAGACAGGUGUGAAAUCCCCGGGCUUAACCUGGGAAUGGCAUUUGGGACUGCAAGGCUGGAGUGUGGCAGAGGAGACUGGAAUUCCGGGUGUAGUGGUGAAAUGCGUAGAGAUCCGGAGGAAUACCAGAGGCGAAGGCGGCACCCUGGGUCUGACCUGACACUGAUCCGCGACAGCAUGGGGAGCGAACGGG